Molecule: ribosomal RNA, 776 nt
Filed under: uncultured Neocallimastigales
Lineage: Eukaryota; Fungi; Neocallimastigomycota; Neocallimastigomycetes; Neocallimastigales
Description: partial large subunit ribosomal RNA
Rfam family: Eukaryotic large subunit ribosomal RNA
Source: RNAcentral
UCAGACGAUGCGUCAUGCAUAUCAAUAAGCGGAGGAAAAGAAACUAACAAGGAUUCCCCUAGUGACGGCGAGUGAAGCGGGAAGAGCUCAAAUUUGAAAUCUUAAAGGGUUUCCCUUUACGAAUUGUAGUUUAAAGAAGUGUUUUCUGUUGAGGUUUUGGUAAAAGUUCUUUGGAAUAGGACAUCAUAGAGGGUGAGAAUCCCGUAUUUGACCUUUACUUUCAACUUUGUGGAUACACUUUCAAAGAGUCGGAUUGUUUGGGAAUGCAGUCCAAAAUGGGUGGUAAAUUUCAUCUAAAGCUAAAUAUUGGCGAUGUGACCGAUAGCGAACAAGUACCGUGAGGGAAAGAUGAAAAGAACUUUGAAAAGAGAGUUAAACAGUACGUGAAAUUGUCAAAAGGGAAGCGUUUGACACCAGUGUUGUUUUUCUGAAAAUCAAUUAAAGAACUGUUUAUGCUAAGCUGUUUAGACUUUAUCAGCUAUCUGUUUAGUUUUGAGCUUUUCUUUAAUGCACUUUUCAGUUAACAAGUCAACAUCAAUUUCUUUUGCUGUAAAAAAGCUUGAGGAAGGUGGCUUGAGAUUCGUCUUAAGUGUUUAUAGCCUCUUGCCUAUGCAGUCGGAGAGAUUGAGGUCUGCAGCGUAGAUCCUUCGGGGCUAAAUGCAUUUGUGCUAAGUUAUAGCAUUUUAUAGACAACUUGUUGACUAUGAUUUGUCUUGUAGCUUACUCGCUUAUGUUAUUUUACCUACGCUUAGGAUGUUGAGCGCAUGUCUCUCUCU